This 2902-nucleotide ribosomal RNA is filed under the name Escherichia coli. RNAcentral describes it as "bacterial LSU rRNA". It matches the Rfam family "Bacterial large subunit ribosomal RNA". The record is from RNAcentral. Lineage: Bacteria; Pseudomonadati; Pseudomonadota; Gammaproteobacteria; Enterobacterales; Enterobacteriaceae.
UUAAGCGACUAAGCGUACACGGUGGAUGCCCUGGCAGUCAGAGGCGAUGAAGGACGUGCUAAUCUGCGAUAAGCGUCGGUAAGGUGAUAUGAACCGUUAUAACCGGCGAUUUCCGAAUGGGGAAACCCAGUGUGAUUCGUCACACUAUCAUUAACUGAAUCCAUAGGUUAAUGAGGCGAACCGGGGGAACUGAAACAUCUAAGUACCCCGAGGAAAAGAAAUCAACCGAGAUUCCCCCAGUAGCGGCGAGCGAACGGGGAGCAGCCCAGAGCCUGAAUCAGUGUGUGUGUUAGUGGAAGCGUCUGGAAAGGCGUGCGAUACAGGGUGACAGCCCCGUACACAAAAAUGCACAUGCUGUGAGCUCGAUGAGUAGGGCGGGACACGUGGUAUCCUGUCUGAAUAUGGGGGGACCAUCCUCCAAGGCUAAAUACUCCUGACUGACCGAUAGUGAACCAGUACCGUGAGGGAAAGGCGAAAAGAACCCCGGCGAGGGGAGUGAAAAAGAACCUGAAACCGUGUACGUACAAGCAGUGGGAGCACGCUUAGGCGUGUGACUGCGUACCUUUUGUAUAAUGGGUCAGCGACUUAUAUUCUGUAGCAAGGUUAACCGAAUAGGGGAGCCGAAGGGAAACCGAGUCUUAACUGGGCGUUAAGUUGCAGGGUAUAGACCCGAAACCCGGUGAUCUAGCCAUGGGCAGGUUGAAGGUUGGGUAACACUAACUGGAGGACCGAACCGACUAAUGUUGAAAAAUUAGCGGAUGACUUGUGGCUGGGGGUGAAAGGCCAAUCAAACCGGGAGAUAGCUGGUUCUCCCCGAAAGCUAUUUAGGUAGCGCCUCGUGAAUUCAUCUCCGGGGGUAGAGCACUGUUUCGGCAAGGGGGUCAUCCCGACUUACCAACCCGAUGCAAACUGCGAAUACCGGAGAAUGUUAUCACGGGAGACACACGGCGGGUGCUAACGUCCGUCGUGAAGAGGGAAACAACCCAGACCGCCAGCUAAGGUCCCAAAGUCAUGGUUAAGUGGGAAACGAUGUGGGAAGGCCCAGACAGCCAGGAUGUUGGCUUAGAAGCAGCCAUCAUUUAAAGAAAGCGUAAUAGCUCACUGGUCGAGUCGGCCUGCGCGGAAGAUGUAACGGGGCUAAACCAUGCACCGAAGCUGCGGCAGCGACGCUGAUGCGUUGUUGGGUAGGGGAGCGUUCUGUAAGCCUGCGAAGGUGUGCUGUGAGGCAUGCUGGAGGUAUCAGAAGUGCGAAUGCUGACAUAAGUAACGAUAAAGCGGGUGAAAAGCCCGCUCGCCGGAAGACCAAGGGUUCCUGUCCAACGUUAAUCGGGGCAGGGUGAGUCGACCCCUAAGGCGAGGCCGAAAGGCGUAGUCGAUGGGAAACAGGUUAAUAUUCCUGUACUUGGUGUUACUGCGAAGGGGGGACGGAGAAGGCUAUGUUGGCCGGGCGACGGUUGUCCCGGUUUAAGCGUGUAGGCUGGUUUUCCAGGCAAAUCCGGAAAAUCAAGGCUGAGGCGUGAUGACGAGGCACUACGGUGCUGAAGCAACAAAUGCCCUGCUUCCAGGAAAAGCCUCUAAGCAUCAGGUAACAUCAAAUCGUACCCCAAACCGACACAGGUGGUCAGGUAGAGAAUACCAAGGCGCUUGAGAGAACUCGGGUGAAGGAACUAGGCAAAAUGGUGCCGUAACUUCGGGAGAAGGCACGCUGAUAUGUAGGUGAAGCGACUUGCUCGUGGAGCUGAAAUCAGUCGAAGAUACCAGCUGGCUGCAACUGUUUAUUAAAAACACAGCACUGUGCAAACACGAAAGUGGACGUAUACGGUGUGACGCCUGCCCGGUGCCGGAAGGUUAAUUGAUGGGGUCAGCGCAAGCGAAGCUCUUGAUCGAAGCCCCGGUAAACGGCGGCCGUAACUAUAACGGUCCUAAGGUAGCGAAAUUCCUUGUCGGGUAAGUUCCGACCUGCACGAAUGGCGUAAUGAUGGCCAGGCUGUCUCCACCCGAGACUCAGUGAAAUUGAACUCGCUGUGAAGAUGCAGUGUACCCGCGGCAAGACGGAAAGACCCCGUGAACCUUUACUAUAGCUUGACACUGAACAUUGAGCCUUGAUGUGUAGGAUAGGUGGGAGGCUUUGAAGUGUGGACGCCAGUCUGCAUGGAGCCGACCUUGAAAUACCACCCUUUAAUGUUUGAUGUUCUAACGUGGACCCGUGAUCCGGGUUGCGGACAGUGUCUGGUGGGUAGUUUGACUGGGGCGGUCUCCUCCUAAAGAGUAACGGAGGAGCACGAAGGUUGGCUAAUCCUGGUCGGACAUCAGGAGGUUAGUGCAAUGGCAUAAGCCAGCUUGACUGCGAGCGUGACGGCGCGAGCAGGUGCGAAAGCAGGUCAUAGUGAUCCGGUGGUUCUGAAUGGAAGGGCCAUCGCUCAACGGAUAAAAGGUACUCCGGGGAUAACAGGCUGAUACCGCCCAAGAGUUCAUAUCGACGGCGGUGUUUGGCACCUCGAUGUCGGCUCAUCACAUCCUGGGGCUGAAGUAGGUCCCAAGGGUAUGGCUGUUCGCCAUUUAAAGUGGUACGCGAGCUGGGUUUAGAACGUCGUGAGACAGUUCGGUCCCUAUCUGCCGUGGGCGCUGGAGAACUGAGGGGGGCUGCUCCUAGUACGAGAGGACCGGAGUGGACGCAUCACUGGUGUUCGGGUUGUCAUGCCAAUGGCACUGCCCGGUAGCUAAAUGCGGAAGAGAUAAGUGCUGAAAGCAUCUAAGCACGAAACUUGCCCCGAGAUGAGUUCUCCCUGACUCCUUGAGAGUCCUGAAGGAACGUUGAAGACGACGACGUUGAUAGGCCGGGUGUGUAAGCGCAGCGAUGCGUUGAGCUAACCGGUACUAAUGAACCGUGAGGCUUAACCUU